GGGAAGUGAUGAGUGGUCGCUACUCGCAUUUAAUAUGCGAGAAGGGGUGUUCGCCUAAAGCCUUACGACAAUUGGCCACCUCCAAUUUUUAACCAUCUGAUCCC
This is a small nucleolar RNA of Cynara cardunculus var. scolymus (artichoke), 104 nucleotides long. RefSeq annotates it as small nucleolar RNA Z279/snoR105/snoR108. Lineage: Eukaryota; Viridiplantae; Streptophyta; Magnoliopsida; Asterales; Asteraceae. The transcript has a single exon. The record is from RefSeq and is a predicted model, not a curated record.